Molecule: ribosomal RNA, 460 nt
Filed under: uncultured bacterium
Lineage: Bacteria
Description: partial 16S ribosomal RNA
Rfam family: Bacterial small subunit ribosomal RNA
Source: RNAcentral
CCUACGGGUGGCAGCAGUGAGGAAUAUUGGUCAAUGGACGAGAGUCUGAACCAGCCAAGUAGCGUGAAGGAUGACUGCCCUAUGGGUUGUAAACUUCUUUUAUAUAGGAAUAAAAUGAGGCACGUGUGCCUUUUUGUAUGUACUUUAUGAAUAAGGAUCGGCUAACUCCGUGCCAGCAGCCGCGGUAAUACGGAGGAUCCGAGCGUUAUCCGGAUUUAUUGGGUUUAAAGGGAGCGUAGAUGGGUUGUUAAGUCAGUUGUGAAAGUUUGCGGCGCAACCGUAAAAUUGCAAUUGAUACUGGCAGUCUUGAGUACAGUUGAGGUAGGCGGAAUUCGUGGUGUAGCGGUGAAAUGCUUAGAUAUCACGAAGAACCCCGAUGGCGAAGGCAGCUUACUAAACUGUAACUGACAUUGAGGCUCGAAAGUGUGGGUAUCAAACAGGAUUAGAUACCCGGGUAGUC